CCUACGGGUGGCAGCAGUAGGGAAUAUUGCUCAAUGGGGGAAACCCUGAAGCAGCAACGCCGCGUGGAGGAUGACGGUCCUCGGAUUGUAAACCCCUUUUGUUAGAGAAGAUAAUGACGGUAUCUAACGACUAAGCACCGGCUAACUCCGUGCCAGCAGCCGCGGUAAAACGGCGGGUGCAAGCGUUACUCGGAAUCACUGGGCGUAAAGAGCGCGUAGGCGGGAUAGCAAGGUAGAUGUGAAAUCCUAUGGCUUAACCAUAGAACUGCAUGUGAAACUGUUAUUCUAGAGUAUGGGAGAGGUAGGUGGAAUUCGUGGUGUAGGGGUGAAAUGCGUAGAGAUCAAGAAGAAUACUGAUUGCGAAGGCAGCCUGCUAGAACAUAACUGACGCUGAUGCGCGAAAGCGUGGGGAGCGAACAGGAUUAGAUACCCUAGUAGUC
RNAcentral lists this ribosomal RNA (440 nucleotides) under uncultured bacterium. RNAcentral's name for it is "partial 16S ribosomal RNA". It matches the Rfam family "Bacterial small subunit ribosomal RNA", at positions 338 to 795 of the family's 1533-position model. The record is from RNAcentral.